Ribosomal RNA from Bison bison bison, 119 nucleotides. The record is from Ensembl. Lineage: Eukaryota; Metazoa; Chordata; Mammalia; Artiodactyla; Bovidae.
GGUUACUUCCAUACCACCUUGAAUGCACCCGAUCUUGUCUGAUCUUGAAAGUAAAGCAAGGUCAGGCCUGGUUAGUACUUGGAUGGGAGACCACCUGGGAAUACAGGGUGCUAUAGGCU